Molecule: small RNA, 958 nt
Filed under: Histoplasma capsulatum
Lineage: Eukaryota; Fungi; Ascomycota; Eurotiomycetes; Onygenales; Ajellomycetaceae
Also listed under: 1 other name
Description: hypothetical RNA
Source: RNAcentral
GAGAUUGAGGAUACUCUUAUUGCUCCUUUUCACUCCGAUGUCUUUCACGGUCCGUUGAUCGUACCAUGCUGUUUUUGAAUUUCCAAUUGUGGACAGCGAUUGCACCAGCCAGCAAAUUCACGCUUAAGACCGUAUCACAUUAUUCAUGUGUUCAAGGAAUGUGGGAGUUGAAGCAAGGAGCCCGUCAACAGACUCAGCCAACUCGUCAUGGAAUGUGAGGUAUACUAGUAUGUGUGCUAAGGUUAAAUGGAGCUGGUAUCACAUUUUAUAGAAAUCCAAUAUCUGGACAGCUGACCCCCUUGAUAUAAUCUGAUACGUAUAUCGUCCCAACAGUUACUAGUUGGCCGGCUCUCCCAGGGUUAACUGUUUUCAGAAUCAGAUUUGCGUAACUGGGUGUUUGGCGGUCGAAUUCUGCACUCUAGCAGGGAAACAGUUUUUAUCUCCUGAAGUUCGAUGGCGAUAGUCCACCCCUUCGCAGUCCAAGGUACGCAACCCUUCACGCCAGAUCCCGGCUGCAGGUUUCCCCUCAGCUGUUACCUUGUUGAUGUCAACUUCCCCUUGCCCCACCCUAGCAUCCUACCAGCCACAGGCAAAACGAACUCGAUAUUAUUCGAUAUCUAAGUCUCCUACGGGGACAACCAAGCGCUUCCUUACGAACUCGGGAAAUUUUCUCUUCUACGCAUGAUAGAAAGAUUAUCUAGCCAAUUUCGUGGCCAAUGAUUUCUAGGGAGAAUAUACGUGUAUAUAUCGUUAUGGUAUCCGCCCGAAAGCAACCAAUAGUACUGCGCAUAAAUGUACUGAGAAGGGGAAAUUUGACCCUAGUAGGCCACUUCUUCCCUAGGCUAUUGUUCCCUACGAACUGGCUUGGAUUGUGGACGUAUUGAAGACGAUCGAAGGGUUCUGGAAAUGAACCUGGCAGGUAUCCAGGAAGGAGGAAUCACAAUCACACAUUGCCAAG